AUUGAACGCUGGCGGCAGGCCUAACACAUGCAAGUCGAACGGUAACAGGAAGAAGCUUGCUUCUUUGCUGACGAGUGGCGGACGGGUGAGUAAUGUCUGGGAAACUGCCUGAUGGAGGGGGAUAACUACUGGAAACGGUAGCUAAUACCGCAUAACGUCGCAAGACCAAAGAGGGGGACCUUCGGGCCUCUUGCCAUCGGAUGUGCCCAGACGGGAUUAGCUAGUAGGUGGGGUAACGGCUCACCUAGGCGACGAUCCCUAGCUGGUCUGAGAGGAUGACCAGCCACACUGGAACUGAGACACGGUCCAGACUCCUACGGGAGGCAGCAGUGGGGAAUAUUGCACAAUGGGCGCAAGCCUGAUGCAGCCAUGCCGCGUGUAUGAAGAAGGCCUUCGGGUUGUAAAGUACUUUCAGCGGGGAGGAAGGGAGUAAAGUUAAUACCUUGGCUCAUUGACGUUACCCGCAGAAGAAGCACCGGCUAACUCCGUG
Molecule: ribosomal RNA, 490 nt
Filed under: uncultured bacterium
Lineage: Bacteria
Description: partial 16S ribosomal RNA
Rfam family: Bacterial small subunit ribosomal RNA
Source: RNAcentral